RNAcentral lists this ribosomal RNA (470 nucleotides) under uncultured Pseudomonadota bacterium. Its description in RNAcentral is "bacterial SSU rRNA". It matches the Rfam family "Bacterial small subunit ribosomal RNA", at positions 8 to 522 of the family's 1533-position model. Lineage: Bacteria; Pseudomonadati; Pseudomonadota. The record is from RNAcentral.
AGAGUUUGAUCAUGGCUCAGAGCGAACGCUGGCGGCAGGCCUAACACAUGCAAGUCGAGCGGCCGUAGCAAUACGGCAGCGGCAGACGGGAGAGUAACACGUGGGAACGCGCCCUUCGGUUCGGAAUAACUCAGGGAAACUUGGGCUAAUACCGGAUACGCCCUAACGGGGAAAGAUUUAUUGCCGAAGGAACGGCCCGCGUCCGAUUAGCUUGUUGGUGAGGUAACGGCUCACCAAGGCGACGAUCGGUAGCUGGUCUGAGAGGAUGACCAGCCUCACUGGGACUGAGACACGGCCCAGACUCCUACGGGAGGCAGCAGUGGGGAAUAUUGGACAAUGGGCGCAAGCCUGAUCCAGCCAUGCCGCGUGGGUGAUGAAGGCCCUAGGGUUGUAAAGCCCUUUCAGCGGGGAAGAUAAUGACGGUACCCGCAGAAGAAGCCCCGGCUAACUUCGUGCCAGCAGCCGCGGUA